This is a non-coding RNA of Pseudovirgaria hyperparasitica, 83 nucleotides long. The record is from the annotation of a RefSeq genome assembly. Lineage: Eukaryota; Fungi; Ascomycota; Dothideomycetes; Acrospermales; Acrospermaceae.
GCCGCCUUGGCUAAGUGGUAUAGCGCCUCACUAGUAUAGCUAGGGAGAUGAGGAGAUCAUCAGUUCGAUUCUGAUAGGUGGCA